GAUGAAGAACGUAGCGAAAUGCGAUAAGUAAUGUGAAUUGCAGAAUUCAGUGAAUCAUCGAAUCUUUGAACGCAUCUUGCGCUCCUUGGUAUUCCUUGGAGCAUGCCUGUUUGAGUAUCAUGAGCAAAUCUCAAAGUCAAUUCCUUUUGUUGAUUCAAUUGGUUUUGCUUUGGACUUGGAGGCCUUGCAGAUUUCACAGUCUGCUCCUCUUAAAUGCAUUAGCUGGAUCUCAGUAAUUAUGCUUGGUGCCACUCGGCGUGAUAAGUAUCACUCGCUGAGGACACUGUUAAAAAGGUGGCCAGGAAAAUACUGAUUGAACCGCUUCUAACGGUCUAUUAAGUUAGACAAUUACCCUUAAGUUUGAUCUCAAAUCAGGUAGGACUACCCGCUGAACUUAAGCAUAUCAAUAAGCGGAGGA
Molecule: unclassified non-coding RNA, 418 nt
Filed under: soil metagenome
Description: partial contains 5.8S ribosomal RNA, internal transcribed spacer 2, and large subunit ribosomal RNA
Rfam family: 5.8S ribosomal RNA (bases 1-120)
Source: RNAcentral